CAGUAGCCGCGGGAAUACGGAGGGUGCAAGCGCUAAUCGGAAUUACUGGGCGUAAAGCGUGCGUAGGCGGUUCGUUAAGUCUGUUGUGAAAGCCCCGGGCUCAACCUGGGAAUGGCAAUGGAUACUGGCGAGCUAGAGUGUGUCAGAGGAUGGUGGAAUUCCCGGUGUAGCGGUGAAAUGCGUAGAGAUCGGGAGGAACAUCAGUGGCGAAGGCGGCCAUCUGGGACAACACUGACGCUGAGGCACGAAAGCGUGGGGAGCAAACAGGAUUAGAUACCCCCGUAGUCCCUGUCUCUUAUAA
This 301-nucleotide ribosomal RNA is filed under the name uncultured bacterium. RNAcentral's name for it is "partial 16S ribosomal RNA". It matches the Rfam family "Bacterial small subunit ribosomal RNA", at positions 509 to 809 of the family's 1533-position model. The record is from RNAcentral.